This 253-nucleotide ribosomal RNA is filed under the name uncultured bacterium. RNAcentral describes it as "partial 16S ribosomal RNA". It matches the Rfam family "Bacterial small subunit ribosomal RNA", at positions 524 to 776 of the family's 1533-position model. The record is from RNAcentral.
UACGUAGGGUGCGAGCGUUGUCCGGAAUUAUUGGGCGUAAAGGGCUCGUAGGCGGUUUGUCGCGUCGGGAGUGAAAACCCAGGGCUUAACCCUGGGCUGGCUUCCGAUACGGGCAGACUAGAGGUAUGCAGGGGAGAACGGAAUUCCUGGUGUAGCGGUGAAAUGCGCAGAUAUCAGGAGGAACACCGGUGGCGAAGGCGGUUCUCUGGGCAGUAACUGACGCUGAGGAGCGAAAGCGUGGGGAGCGAACAGG